RNAcentral lists this unclassified non-coding RNA (404 nucleotides) under Hevea brasiliensis (rubber tree). The record is from RNAcentral. Lineage: Eukaryota; Viridiplantae; Streptophyta; Magnoliopsida; Malpighiales; Euphorbiaceae.
ACUCCAGGCCAAAUCAAGAAUGAAAGUUAACUUGAAUCAGCUGUCAUCAUCUACAGCACCAAUAUAAGUAAGGUCAGUCCUCCUGACCCUUACAGUCCCUUUAAGCCAGCUGGAGGCCCGAAGAUUAGAAUGGUCACCACUGCCAAUCACAGCAGAGUUGCUCGAAGAUGGACCUGAUCCUGCGCCAUCUUCCAAAAGAGUCCAUGGGUCAAUUUCCAUAUCAUUUUCCGGUUGCAAUGGCAAUGGCUUGGACUUCCCUGGCGCAUUUGUUGUCAUUCGUGCCAAAGGAAGAGGACUUUUCUGCGAUGGGUUUCCAGUGUAAAAUCCAGAAUAUGUGAUACUAGGUUGAAGUGAAGCAACAGAAGCAACAGGAACAGAUGGUAGAUGGCAAGAGAUGGACCAUC